CGAUUCCCGGUUAGGGAAGGAGGCUUUGUUUCUUACUAGGUUUGACAUUUUCUAACCGCUAUCAUUCGUUUUUUCCACGACUGGAGGAGACAUGGGGUUGACUGUUUACCGAGAAUACAUUCCAGAAAGUGGAACAGGUCUGUUUUCCUGGAAUCUUGGGGUGAAAUAUCAACUAUAUUACUAAACUACAUUGCAUGAUAAAAAAAAGACUCCUGAUUGACACCUGGACUUGGAAAAAUAAGCAUCUGGCGAGAAGGGUCAACUGAGAGGGAGGAAGAAGGCCAGUUGUUGUGCCAGAGUGAAAAAGAGUUCUGGAGCAUCUCAAACCAGAAAUUAAAUGCUCCAGCCCAGAAGAGACACGCAACACUCCCACUUCCAACUCACUGGUCAGAAGUGGUUACAUAGCUCCACCCAAACACAAAGAGGAUGUAAGUAAGCUAAGGCAAGAAGCUGGAAAUAUUGUGAGAACAGCAUAAAUGCCAUCACAAAGAGUGAUAUGCAAAAAGCAUGCUGGGAAAUAUCAACUAACUUCAAAGAGCAGUCUUCCUGCAUUAUCACCAUCCUCAGUAAAGAGGUUGAUCUCAUUCAUCCAUGACUCAGUCUGUUUCUCAGCUGCAGUCUGCAUGAUUUCAAAAAAACCUGAAAAGCCCUUUUACUUCUAACAGAUCAACACUAUAUCUUCAAGUAAAAGGAAUGUAUUGAAGCUCCACACUUACUGGCUAGAACCGGGCUCCCGGAUGGACAGACACGGCGGUAGCUCUCGGAUCCGUCGCGGCGGCGGCGUUGUGCGUAUCCCACGGAAGGCCACUGGCGCCACCCUGUGGUCUCCUGUGCACAUUGCGACCUUAGCUCUCCACAGAAUCUGCAACCGCCAGUGCGCGCGGGCCCAGGGGCGCGGAGACUGGCCGGGUGCACGCUUUUUGCAACCUCCCCCCAAAGCCCCGUGAGAAAUACUUGCUUCCUCAGAGCCGGCAGGGGCAAGAAAUUAGCUCUGGUCAGGUCGGCGGCAGAGGCGGCGGGCGGGUAGAGGAGAGAAAGGGGUUGUGAGUGUCAGAUUUGCCCCGGUACCCAAAAAAGCACCCAACUCGGGGGCUGCUCCUUCAUAUCCGACGUAACUGUUUGCUUGGGCCGGCAGGUGUGAGAACCCGACUCCCGAAUGAGCUGGGUGGGCACCUGCAGCGGAACCGCGCAGCUGAAAAACCCAUUCGUAGGUCAGGGGGGAUGGAGGGAGGGCUCGAUCCAGCUCACGGACCUGGCGGCGGCGCCACCCCACGGACGCCUGUUGCGGUUGCAGCCUCGGCUGCCGCCUAGCGCAGGUGCUGCCGGGAGGCAAGGGGCGCGCGGGAGUUUGCGGCUGGCGGUGGCCUCCGCGGAGGCCUGGUUAAGGGGGCCACCGGAAGGGGAGGGUCGCUGGCUGUCUGGGCGAGACCUCAAGAAUAAAGGCGGCUGGAGGCGGUGGUAGAAGCAGGGAGGGAGCAGGUGGAGAGUACGAGACGGCUGUUCAGUCAAGCCCUGAUGAAUUCCUUGCUGGUUCCACCGCCAUCAAGAGCCAGGAAGGGACCCCGGGCCGGCAGAACCUGCAGGCCUGUGGGCAGGGAGCCCCCAGGCUCUUCACGGGCUGCUCUGAAAUGCAUUUGGGAACCAUGGAGCUUCUCCCUCAAGGGUCCAAGCCCUGUCCUAUCCCGGAAGACAAGUUUCCAGGACUGAGAACAAGGGCCCAGAGGGGAUUGAUGCAGCUGGCUGGGAGAGAGGAGGAAGGUGGCGUUUUCCUUCCUUCGCCCUCAGACUCAGCAGGGACAACACCCAGGGCCUGUUGGACCUAUCGAGACUUCAUCUUAGAAGUUUAGAGCUUCAUCUGAGAAGCUCCUGGGCCCAUCCUGUAAUCCCCAGGUCUGUUCCAGACCUAAGCACAACUCUCCAGAGUAGACAGUUACGGAGCUGAACAGGCAACUGGGUGUGAGGAGAGUGGUCGUUUCUCACCUUCCAGGCUCUGUAGGAUGAGCCCUAAACUCAUUUGGGGACCACAGGAGCUUCUACAAGAGUCCAGGCCCAUUUCAGAACACUCAGAAGUUUCCUAGCCUGAGAAGGAAUCACCAAAGUGGAUCGACUGGUUUUGGGAAAACAGGAAGAGUUGGUUCCAUUCUGGGUCUUUCCUGGCUCCCAAACUCAGCCGGGAGCAAAACCAGUGCCUACUGGAUUUAGAA
Orcinus orca (killer whale) is the source of this 2204-nucleotide long non-coding RNA. RefSeq lists it as uncharacterized. The transcript is spliced from 4 exons. Lineage: Eukaryota; Metazoa; Chordata; Mammalia; Artiodactyla; Delphinidae. The record is from RefSeq and is a predicted model, not a curated record.